RNAcentral lists this ribosomal RNA (564 nucleotides) under uncultured archaeon. Its description in RNAcentral is "bacterial SSU rRNA". It matches the Rfam family "Archaeal small subunit ribosomal RNA", at positions 326 to 894 of the family's 1478-position model. The record is from RNAcentral.
CGGGGUGCACCAGGCGCGAAACCUCUGCAAUAGGAGAAAGCUUGACAGGGUUACUGUGAGUGACGUUCGUUAAGGACGUCUUUUGGCACCUAUAAAAAUGGUGCAGAAUAAGGGGUGGGCAAGUCUGGUGUCAGCCGCCGCGGUAAUACCAGCACCCCGAGUGGUCUGGACGAUUAUUGGGCCUAAAGCAUCCGUAGCCGGUUCUGCAAGUCUUCCGUUAAAUCCACCUGCUCAACCAGAUGGGCCGCGGAGGAUACUACAGGGCUAGGAGGCGGGAGAGGCAAGCGGUACUCAGUGGGUAGGGGUAAAAUCCUGUGAUCCACUGAAGACCACCAGUGGCGAAGGCGUCUUGCCAGAACGCGCUCGACGGUGAGGGAUGAAAGCUGGGGGAGCAAACCGGAUUAGAUACCCGGGUAGUCCCAGCUGUAAACGAUGCAGACUCGGUGUUGGGUUGGGUUCGAGCCAACCCAGUGCCGCAGGGAAGCCGUUAAGUCUGCCGCCUGGGGAGUACGGUCGCAAGACUGAAACUUAAAGGAAUGGCGGGGGAGCACAAGGGCGAUUCGC